Molecule: transfer RNA, 73 nt
Filed under: Stegodyphus mimosarum
Lineage: Eukaryota; Metazoa; Arthropoda; Arachnida; Araneae; Eresidae
Rfam family: tRNA
About the family: Transfer RNA (tRNA) molecules are approximately 80 nucleotides in length. Their secondary structure includes four short double-helical elements and three loops (D, anti-codon, and T loops).
Source: Rfam by way of RNAcentral
GCCUUCGUGGUGUAGUGGUCAGCACGCUGGAUGCGUAUUUCAGAGGUCUGUGGUUCGAGUCCCGGCGAAGGCG